GCGAGCGUAGCCAAGCGGUUAAGGCAGUGGGUUGUGGCUCCACUAUUCGCGGGUUCAAUUCCCGUCGUUCGCC
This 73-nucleotide transfer RNA is filed under the name Neotessella volvocina. RNAcentral's name for it is "tRNA-His". It matches the Rfam family "tRNA". From Rfam's summary of the family: Transfer RNA (tRNA) molecules are approximately 80 nucleotides in length. Their secondary structure includes four short double-helical elements and three loops (D, anti-codon, and T loops). The record is from RNAcentral. Lineage: Eukaryota; Synurophyceae; Synurales; Neotessellaceae.